Molecule: ribosomal RNA, 376 nt
Filed under: uncultured bacterium
Lineage: Bacteria
Description: bacterial SSU rRNA
Rfam family: Bacterial small subunit ribosomal RNA
Source: RNAcentral
CACGUAGGAGGCGAGCGUUAUCCGGAUUUACUGGGUGUAAAGCGCGUGCAGGCGGUUCAGAAAGUUGGAUGUGAAAGCUCCUGGCUUAACUGGGAGAGGUCGUUCAAUACUUCUGGACUCGAGUAUGGGAGAGGGAGGUGGAAUUCCGGGUGUAGUGGUGAAAUGCGUAGAUAUCCGGAGGAACACCAGUGGCGAAAGCGGCCUCCUGGUCCAUUACUGACGCUCAGACGCGAAAGCUAGGGUAGCAAACGGGAUUAGAGACCCCGGUAGUCCUAGCUGUAAACGAUGUGAACUUGGCGUUGGUGGGUUCAAAUCCAUCAGUGCCGGAGCUAACGCGUUAAGUUCACCACCUGGGGACUACGGCCGCAAGGUUAAA